This 497-nucleotide ribosomal RNA is filed under the name uncultured bacterium. RNAcentral's name for it is "partial 16S ribosomal RNA". It matches the Rfam family "Bacterial small subunit ribosomal RNA", at positions 28 to 507 of the family's 1533-position model. The record is from RNAcentral.
GAUGAACGCUGGCGGCGUGCCUAAUACAUGCAAGUCGAGCGAACGGACGAGAAGCUUGCUUCUCUGAUGUUAGCGGCGGACGGGUGAGUAACACGUGGAUAACCUACCUAUAAGGCUGGGAUAACUUCGGGAAACCGGAGCUAAUACCGGAUGAUAUUUUGAACCGCAUGGUUCAAAAGUGAAAGACGGUCUUGCUGUCACUUAUAGAUGGAUCCGCGCUGUAUUAGCUAGUUGGUAAGGUAACGGCUUACCAAGGCAACGAUGCAUAGCCGACCUGAGAGGGUGAUCGGCCACACUGGAACUGAGACACGGUCCAGACUCCUACGGGAGGCAGCAGUAGGGAAUCUUCCGCAAUGGGCGAAAGCCUGACGGAGCAACGCCGCGUGAGUGAUGAAGGUCUUCGGAUCGUAAAACUCUGUUAUUAGGGAAGAACAUAUGUGUAAGUAACUGUGCACAUCUUGACGGUACCUAAUCAGAAAGCCACGGCUAACUACGUG